This 490-nucleotide ribosomal RNA is filed under the name uncultured bacterium. Its description in RNAcentral is "partial 16S ribosomal RNA". It matches the Rfam family "Bacterial small subunit ribosomal RNA", at positions 30 to 507 of the family's 1533-position model. The record is from RNAcentral.
AUUGAACGCUGGCGGCAUGCUUUACACAUGCAAGUCGGACGGCAGCACAGAGAAGCUUGCUUCUUGGGUGGCGAGUGGCGAACGGGUGAGUAAUAUAUCGGAACGUACCGAGUAAUGGGGGAUAACUAAUCGAAAGAUUAGCUAAUACCGCAUAUUCUCUGAGGAGGAAAGCAGGGGACCUUCGGGCCUUGCGUUAUUCGAGCGGCCGAUAUCUGAUUAGCUAGUUGGUGGGGUAAAGGCCUACCAAGGCGACGAUCAGUAGCGGGUCUGAGAGGAUGAUCCGCCACACUGGGACUGAGACACGGCCCAGACUCCUACGGGAGGCAGCAGUGGGGAAUUUUGGACAAUGGGCGCAAGCCUGAUCCAGCCAGGCCGCGUGUCUGAAGAAGGCCUUCGGGUUGUAAAGGACUUUUGUCAGGGAAGAAAAGGCUGUUGCUAAUACCGACAGCUGAUGACGGUACCUGAAGAAUAAGCACCGGCUAACUACGUG